CAGCCGCCGCGGUAAUACGAAGGUCCCAAGCGUUGUUCGGAAUCACUGGGCGUAAAGGGAGCGUAGGCGGCGUGGUAAGUCAGAUGUGAAAUCCCGGGGCUCAACCCCGGAACUGCAUCCGAUACUGCCAUGCUUGAGGGUUGGAGAGGUAGCUGGAAUUCUCGGUGUAGCAGUGAAAUGCGUGGAUAUCGAGAGGAACACUCGUGGCGAAGGCGAGCUACUGGACAACAUCUGACGCUGAGGCUCGAAGGCCAGGGGAGCGAAAGGGAUUAGAUACCCCCGUAGUCCCUGUCUCUUAUAC
Molecule: ribosomal RNA, 301 nt
Filed under: uncultured bacterium
Lineage: Bacteria
Description: partial 16S ribosomal RNA
Rfam family: Bacterial small subunit ribosomal RNA
Source: RNAcentral